AUGCCGCGGUGAAUACGUUCCCGGGCCUUGUACACACCGCCCGUCACACCACGAGAGUUGGCAACACCCGAAGUCGGUGGGGUAACUUUUGGAGCCAGCCGCCGAAGGUGGGGCCAAUGAUUGGGGUGAAGUCGUAACAAGGUAGCCGUAUCGGAAGGUGCGGCUGGAUCACCUCCUUUCU
RNAcentral lists this ribosomal RNA (181 nucleotides) under Gracilibacillus dipsosauri. RNAcentral's name for it is "partial 16S ribosomal RNA". It matches the Rfam family "Bacterial small subunit ribosomal RNA", at positions 1354 to 1533 of the family's 1533-position model. Lineage: Bacteria; Bacillati; Bacillota; Bacilli; Caryophanales; Bacillaceae. The record is from RNAcentral.